This is a long non-coding RNA of Calidris pugnax (ruff), 3144 nucleotides long. RefSeq lists it as uncharacterized. Lineage: Eukaryota; Metazoa; Chordata; Aves; Charadriiformes; Scolopacidae. The record is from RefSeq and is a predicted model, not a curated record. The transcript has 2 exons.
UGCCUGGGUUUGUAGUUUUAUGAGAGAAAUGCAGGCUUUGUGAAAAGCUGUGAGUGCUGAAAAACGGGCAAAUUGUCAAAAGUGACUAUUGCCACAUAGAUGUUUAGAAACACUGAAAAAAUUCCAGUCUUAAGGUCAGAAAGCAAAAUGUUUCUUCCCGAAGUAUGAAUAUCACAGUAAAUGCUCUGAAGCAAACAGUCUCUUUCAGCCUCUUGUGCUGACCAAGGGAUGUGAAAACCAUCAGCAGACUUUGUCGGGGCUCCUCAAGACGCAAGCAGAUGAAGGGGCAACAUGGACGCAUCCCGAGCUCACUGGCGUUGUGAAGGCAAGGUGUGUGUUGAGGCAACAGUAGAAGGGGUAGAAAGAGUGCUGGGCUCUGAUUCAUGACAGCAAUCCAUGUGGGAAUGCUGCUGGUCUAAAUGAGCCUCUGUAUUCCCUGGAUUUGUCUCAUCCAUCCCAGUAACCGCUACAUGCAUUCUUUGAUUCACUGUAUGUUCCAAAGGCUUUCUUCUCUUAUUCACAUCAUCUUUAUAUGUUUGGACUUGAGCUUAGUCAAGCUGGGUUUUCAUCUCUCUGUAUGUUCUCAAUGUGUCAGAGGGCAGUCGUAAUUCCCAGAUUGAAAGAAAGGAUAAAGUAGAAUUAAUAACACUGCAGUCCAUAUACUGCAUUAUGAUCGUUCCCACAGCCUCUAUACAGAUGUUGGAUAGAAAAGGUGAUCAGCACUGAGUGCUGUUGCAUGUUGCAUCUGGGAACCCUUAACAAGAGGAAAAGCCAUCUGCUACUGUCUGGGAACACUCAGUGAGGAAUCAGUGGAACCACGCUAAGGCAUUUCUCACUCUGAGCCAGGUCACACAGCUGUGUCCAGGAUUUCACAUGCUCCACAAUGUCAGAGGCCACCAGAGCUUUGAGUCAUCUGUAAGUCACCAGGCAUCUGGCCGUGGUCACUGGUGGAAAUACUUUUAUCGUUACGCUGAGCAGAGGUGAGGUGCAGUGGUUGUAGAAGUGAUCUCAGUGAGGCAGUUGCUAGCCAAGUGAGUACGGUCUAGAAGAGAUUUCUUUAGCAGACAUCAGAGUAAAGUGUGUUUUGUUGGUGUGUGUCCCCCGCAAGAGCUGUUGGCAGCUUCCUCUCAGAGAAAAGCAGUGAUUCAUACUUCCAGGAGCAGACUUACGCAGUCCCUGCAGUGUUUUUCCUGGCCAAGUUGGAAUAGUCUAGAUUCUAGAUUAGUAAUUCAUAUUACAGUAGUUGCUCGGAAGUCUCUAUGUGCAAGGUACUUGAGAGGUACAAAGAAAGAGGCAAUCCCUGUGCUAAUUUGGAGAUGUGAGCUGAACAAGAGAGAAAUCAAGCAACUUUCUCAGUGCCAGUAGGAGAUUCUGGAAGAUAUGUGAGCUGUAUGUAUAUUUCCCAAGUGCUGCAGUAGUGUAAUUACUAUACAGAUUUGUUUGUAGUCAUUGACAGAUUGUAAAAACCGUGUAUAGUAUGACUACUGUCAAGAAUUUACUGAGUGAUUUUCUGUUCAAAUUAGUAUAUUAAGUUACACACUAAAUUGACACAUAAAUAAUCUUUUUCAAAGUCAGACUUACUUUAUAAAGUCCUCUAAAAUCUCUGUUUUCAAGCAGUAAAUUUGCCUUUUUGAUCCUCUAACGCUUUGUGAUCUUGUAAUUUAAAAAUAUUUCCUAUCACCAAAAUAUAUGUUAUAUUUAGACACUUCAAAUAGUUUACAUACCAAAUAAUUGUAAAGCAUUGAAAACAGGCACUAUAACUGUGUGUGAAUUGUCUGUUAAAGGUUUUAAUUCUGUUAUUUAUUUUUCUGCACAUACAGCUUUGGCUACCCAGUAGAGUUAGUUUGAGUAUUAUGAUUAGAUAAACAUGUAUUGGGCGUGCUAAAAACUUGAAGCCUUUGGCUUGAAGUACAGGUCUCUGCUCCACCAAGUACAUAAUGCUUGCAGGAGUAUGACGCUCCAGCCUAAUUGAACUCAAAGAUCAUCAGAGAAAGGGAUGUGGAUCUUCUGUGUCCAGCCAGUUAUAAAAUCUUCAGUUUCACCUUCCCUCUCUGACUAAAGAAGCUAUCAUUUAUAAAGGCACAGAAAUGCAUAUAUCAUUCUAAAACUUGUACUCUAAUGGAAGACGUGAUAAGCAAAUUUAUUUCAUAAUCAUUCUAGCCUGUCAAAUGACAUUCACGAAAGAAUAAAUUAUAAAAUAAAUCUUAUUUAAUUGUUGCUGAUUGUGUAAGAUGGGCAAAUAUGUACACUUUCCGACUAGGAUUUUUUGCUUUUUGUUUAAUUUUCUCACUCUUUAUUUUACCUCCAAAUCUGUAUUUGACACUCUGAAGAAAACAGAAGCUUAAACAUGUUCAGUCCACCAGAAGGUGAGUGCUUUGGCUCAGUGCAGAGCUGCCUUGUCUGAGCAUAUUAAAAGCCAUUUUAGUUUGUAUAGGAGUAAUUGUACGUUUGUAGGGUUUUGUAGCUUCAGAAUAUGGUCCAGUGGAGUAUUGAUGGGCUUUAGCUGACAAGCGACUGAAACACACACCUCACCAGCUUUUCAGAACAGCCAUCAAGAAGCUUCCAAUAUGCAAUUUCUCGGCAACAGCCUUGGAAGCCAUUUUAGUCUGCAUCUAAUGUGGGAAGGAUGGGCUCCAAGGUGAACUACAUCAGCAUGGAUUUAAAGACAGGAGUGCCACCACCCCAACAGAUUUCACCAUGGAAAAUCUGGGACUUGAGGAUUUCCAGCUAGGCUUUGGAUGGAGUCCCAGGAGGAGGGUUAGAAAUGCAAUCUCCCAAUGCUAACAACUCUGAUGUAGAGAGGAACCAAACCAGGUUCUAAACAAGCGUUUGAACAUUUGCAAGUAUGUAUGUCUUUGGGGUCUUCUGGAGUAAAAGUAGUGUACCUUUACUUUAGGAAAUUGGGCAACAUACAUAAGUUAAAAGUAGUGACUUCAGAAUAUUGUAAAUAGCUAUUACCUUCAGACAAUCCAAUUCUAACCAUAUUACUUGGUAUUUAUAUUAUGGUGAUUAAAAGAAGACACCCCUUAUCUGGCCUUUCUCUCUAUUUUUAACACGAAAGACUGUUGAAAAUAAAAUGUUUCAUUACGUAUAUCAAUACUUCCCAGUGGUUUUGAAACAAUUAAACUAAUGUUUCCCUUUAAA